GAUAAAGAGAGAUCAGAAAUACAAGAGGCAGAGGAAGCAAGGUUGAAAAAAAUUAGGGAAUGCAAAUUACGACAUGGACACCUAUGGUGAGAUUGUUUAAGGACUUUGAGUAAUAAUUAAGUCUUUUGUCAUGAGUUAUUACUUUCUCUCACAAUGUUGUAACUUAGAAAAGUAUUAUUAAUACCAAAA
This is a long non-coding RNA of Amphimedon queenslandica, 189 nucleotides long. RefSeq lists it as uncharacterized. NCBI's taxonomy places the organism in Eukaryota, Metazoa, Porifera, Demospongiae, Haplosclerida, Niphatidae. The transcript has 2 exons. The record is from RefSeq and is a predicted model, not a curated record.